RNAcentral lists this ribosomal RNA (253 nucleotides) under uncultured bacterium. RNAcentral's name for it is "partial 16S ribosomal RNA". It matches the Rfam family "Bacterial small subunit ribosomal RNA", at positions 524 to 776 of the family's 1533-position model. The record is from RNAcentral.
UACGAAGGGGGCUAGCGUUGCUCGGAAUCACUGGGCGUAAAGGGUGCGUAGGCGGGUCUUUAAGUCAGGGGUGAAAUCCUGGAGCUCAACUCCAGAACUGCCUUUGAUACUGAGAAUCUUGAGUUCGAGAGAGGUGAGUGGAACUGCGAGUGUAGAGGUGAAAUUCGUAGAUAUUCGCAAGAACACCAGUGGCGAAGGCGGCUCACUGGCUCGAUACUGACGCUGAGGUGCGAAAGCGUGGGGAGCAAACAGG